This 386-nucleotide ribosomal RNA is filed under the name uncultured Desulfobulbus sp. RNAcentral describes it as "bacterial SSU rRNA". It matches the Rfam family "Bacterial small subunit ribosomal RNA", at positions 1002 to 1382 of the family's 1533-position model. The record is from RNAcentral. Lineage: Bacteria; Pseudomonadati; Thermodesulfobacteriota; Desulfobulbia; Desulfobulbales; Desulfobulbaceae.
GGAAACUAGGGGUGCUUCCAUCUGGAAGAAUCUGGAGGACAGGUGCUGCAUGGCUGUCGUCAGCUCGUGUCGUGAGAUGUUGGGUUAAGUCCCGCAACGAGCGCAACCCUUGCCUUUAGUUGCCAGCAGUUCGGCUGGGCACUCUAAAGGGACUGCCGGUGUUAAACCGGAGGAAGGUGGGGAUGACGUCAAGUCCUCAUGGCCUUUAUGACCAGGGCUACACACGUACUACAAUGGCCGAUACAAAGGGCAGCGACACUGCGAGGUGAAGCCAAUCCCGUAAAAUCGGUCUCAGUCCGGAUUGGAGUCUGCAACUCGACUCCAUGAAGUUGGAAUCGCUAGUAAUCGUGGAUCAGCAUGCCACGGUGAAUACGUUCCCGGGCCUU